Molecule: ribosomal RNA, 465 nt
Filed under: uncultured bacterium
Lineage: Bacteria
Description: partial 16S ribosomal RNA
Rfam family: Bacterial small subunit ribosomal RNA
Source: RNAcentral
GACGAACGCUGGCGGCGUGCUUAACACAUGCAAGUCGAACGGAAAGGCCCCUUCGGGGGUACUCGAGUGGCGAACGGGUGAGUAACACGUGAGUAACCUGCCCUUGACUUCGGGAUAACUUCAGGAAACUGGGGCUAAUACCGGAUAGGAAUCCUUGCUGCAUGGUGGGGGUUGGAAAGCUUCGGCGGUUUUGGAUGGACUCGCGGCUUAUCAGCUUGUUGGUGGGGUAAUGGCUUACCAAGGCUUUGACGGGUAGCCGGCCUGAGAGGGCGACCGGCCACAUUGGGACUGAGAUACGGCCCAGACUCCUACGGGAGGCAGCAGUGGGGAAUAUUGCACAAUGGGCGGAAGCCUGAUGCAGCAACGCCGCGUGCGGGAUGACGGCCUUCGGGUUGUAAACCGCUUUCAGCAGGGGCGAAGCUUGUGGUGACGGUACCUGCAGAAGAAGCACCGGCUAACUACGUG